Molecule: ribosomal RNA, 198 nt
Filed under: uncultured bacterium
Lineage: Bacteria
Description: partial 16S ribosomal RNA
Rfam family: Bacterial small subunit ribosomal RNA
Source: RNAcentral
ACGCUCGACACCUACGGGAGGCCGCAGUGGGGAAUAUUGCACAAUGGGGGAAACCCUGAUGCAGCGACGCCGCGUGGAGGAAGAAGGUCUUCGGAUUGUAAACUCCUGUUGUUGGGGAAAAAGAGGAUGGUACCCAACAAGGAAGUGACGGCUAACUACGUGCCAGCAGCCGCGGUAAUCUGAGCGGGCUGGCAAGGC